GAUGAACGCUGGCGGCGUGCCUAAUACAUGCAAGUCGAGCGAACGGACGAGAAGCUUGUUUCUCUGAUGUUAGCGGCGGACGGGUGAGUAACACGUGGAUAACCUACCUAUAAGACUGGGAUAACUUCGGGAAACCGGAGCUAAUACCGGAUGAUAUUUUGAACCGCAUGGUUCAAAAGUGAAAGACGGUCUUGCUGUCACUUAUAGAUGGAUCCGCGCUGCAUUAGCUAGUUGGUAAGGUAACGGCUUACCAAGGCAACGAUGCAUAGCCGACCUGAGAGGGUGAUCGGCCACACUGGAGCUGAGACACGGUCCAGACUCCUACGGGAGGCAGCAGUAGGGAAUCUUCCGCAAUGGGCGAAAGCCUGACGGAGCAACGCCGCGUGAGUGAUGAAGGUCUUCGGAUCGUAAAACUCUGUUAUUAGGGAAGAACAUAUGUGUAAGUAACUGUGCACAUCUUGACGGUACCUAAUCAGAAAGCCACGGCUAACUACGUG
This 497-nucleotide ribosomal RNA is filed under the name uncultured bacterium. Its description in RNAcentral is "partial 16S ribosomal RNA". It matches the Rfam family "Bacterial small subunit ribosomal RNA", at positions 28 to 507 of the family's 1533-position model. The record is from RNAcentral.